This 95-nucleotide non-coding RNA is filed under the name Bordetella genomosp. 1. Its description in RNAcentral is "Bordetella genomosp. Glycine sequence". It matches the Rfam family "Glycine riboswitch aptamer", at positions 8 to 87 of the family's 94-position model. Rfam says of the family: This family represents the bacterial glycine riboswitch. Glycine riboswitches usually consist of two metabolite-binding aptamers domains with similar structures in tandem. The record is from RNAcentral. Lineage: Bacteria; Pseudomonadati; Pseudomonadota; Betaproteobacteria; Burkholderiales; Alcaligenaceae.
CAUCUGGAGAGAGGCGCUGAUCGCGCCCACCGAAGGGGAGCUUCGCCAAGGAUGUACCAGGCGCGGGCGCAAACUCUCAGGUACAUGGACAGAUG